This 253-nucleotide ribosomal RNA is filed under the name uncultured bacterium. RNAcentral's name for it is "partial 16S ribosomal RNA". It matches the Rfam family "Bacterial small subunit ribosomal RNA", at positions 524 to 776 of the family's 1533-position model. The record is from RNAcentral.
UACGGAGGGUGCUAGCGUUUUUCGGAAUCACUGGGCGUAAAGCGCACGUAGGCGGCUUUUUCAGUCGGCGGUGAAAUCCCGAGGCUUAACUUCGGAAAUGCGUCCGAUACUGCAAAUCUCGAGUCCGGGAGAGGUGGGGGGAAUUCCGAGUGUAGAGGUGAAAUGCGUAGAUAUUAGGAAGAUCACCAGUGGCGAAAGCGGUCCACUGGCCCGGUACUGACGCUGAGGUACGAAAGCGUGGGGAGCGAACAGG